UGUAUAGCGAUAGCUAAUUGUAUUUAAACAUAAUGGAUACAAUAUUGACUAUGUCAAAUAAAAUUCUAGGCAGAAUUAUGAUAAUGACAUUGUCUGCCUAUGUGUCUUGACCAAAUUACGUGCCAGCAGUCGCGGUAAUACGUAGAAGACUAGUGUUAUUCAUCUUUAAUAGGUUUAAAGGGUACCUAGACGGUAAAUCAAGCCUAAAAAGGGGACUAAUUUACUAGAGUUACUUGUGAGGGGGCACUAAAGUACUGAUGGUGUAGAGAUAGAAUUCUGUAAUACCUUUUUCGUAAAGAAAGCAAUGGCACAGGUAUAGGCGAAAGCAUCCCCUUAUGUGAUAACUGACGUUGAAGGACGAAGGCUUUGUGCAGCGAACAGGAUUAGAUACCCUAGUAGUCGAAGCAGAAAAUGAUGAAUGUCAUAGAUUAGACAUAUAAGUUUAUUCUAUAAAUGAAAGUGUAAGCAUUCCACCUCAAGAGUAAUAUGGCAACAUUGGAACUGAAAUCAUUAGACCGUUUCUGAAACCAGUAGUGAAGUAUGUUGUUUAAUUUGAUGAUCCGCAAAAAACCUUACCACAACUUGAAUAUUUAUAGAUAUACCUUUUUAUUAAUAAAAAGAUUAUAGAUAUAUUUACAAGCGUUGCACGGCUGUCUUCAGUUAAUGUCGCGAGACUUUGGUUAGUUCCAUUAAAUUAACGCAAACCCUUGCUUUAUUUUUACAUAAAGUAGUUCCCCACUAGAUUGGACAAGAUAACAGGGACUAAGACAAGUCAUCAUGGCCUUAAUGUUGUGGGCUAUAGACGUGCCACAUAAACCUUACAAAAGGA
This 829-nucleotide ribosomal RNA is filed under the name Lecanora strobilina. RNAcentral describes it as "SSU rRNA". It matches the Rfam family "Bacterial small subunit ribosomal RNA", at positions 385 to 1247 of the family's 1533-position model. The record is from RNAcentral. Lineage: Eukaryota; Fungi; Ascomycota; Lecanoromycetes; Lecanorales; Lecanoraceae.